AAGUCGUAACAAGGUCUCCGUAGGUGAACCUGCGGAGGGAUCAUUAACACGUUUUAACAACGUACCCACCAAAGCUGCGGAAACGCGAGCAGCGACUGUGAAACUUCACAGUUGUUGCUCAGUUCUCUCCCUUCUUGCUCGCGCACUCUGCUCGCAGCGUGUAUGUUCGUGGAGGCUAUAACCUUUAUUGACCCAUUUCCAACUUCAAUGCUUGCUGCGGCCGUGACUUGUUACUUGUAACUUGUUGUUGUUGUUCGUUUGGUGUUGUCUGUAUCUGCCCUGUAUUCUAUCUGUGGAGGG
Molecule: unclassified non-coding RNA, 300 nt
Rfam family: Eukaryotic small subunit ribosomal RNA (bases 1-46)